Vidua chalybeata is the source of this 2463-nucleotide RNA transcript. It is a transcript of the gene named ubiquitin conjugating enzyme E2 Z, with no coding region annotated. NCBI's taxonomy places the organism in Eukaryota, Metazoa, Chordata, Aves, Passeriformes, Viduidae. The transcript has 8 exons. The record is from RefSeq and is a predicted model, not a curated record.
CGGGCCGAGGCCGCAAUGGCGGAGAGCCCGGCGGCCGAGGACGCGGCCCCGGCCCCGGCCGCGGUGCUGGCGGCGGGCGGCGGCGGCAGCGCCUCCCCCAGCGCCGCCGGCGCCGCGGGGACCCCCGGCGUCUUCAUCCCCGCCGAGCUCUGGGCGGCGGCGGGCUUCGGCGCGGCCGCGGCGCCCGGCACCGGCGUGGCCCCCGGCAGCGGCGGCGCCCCGAUGGCGGCGGCGGCGGCGGCGGGGGCCGCGCUCCUCACGCACUCCGCCUUCUGGGACCCCACGGUCAGCGGCGACUGGGACAGCGAGCGGCCCAGCCCGGCCUGCCUGCUGCGGAUCAAACGGGAUAUCAUGUCCAUUUACAAGGAGCCGCCGCCGGGAAUGUUCGUGGUGCCCGACCCCCACGACAUGACCAAGAUCCACGCGCUGAUCACGGGCCCGUUCGACACCCCCUACGAGGGCGGCUUCUUCCUGUUCCUGUUCCGCUGCCCCCCGGACUACCCCAUCCACCCGCCCCGCGUCAAGCUCAUGACCACGGGCAACAACACCGUGCGCUUCAACCCCAACUUCUACCGCAACGGCAAGGUCUGCCUCAGCAUCCUGGGCACGUGGACAGGCCCGGCCUGGAGCCCGGCCCAGAGCAUCUCCUCGGUGCUGAUCUCCAUCCAGUCCCUGAUGACCGAGAACCCGUACCACAACGAGCCCGGCUUUGAGCAGGAGCGGCACCCCGGGGACAGCAAGAACUACAACGAGUGCAUCCGGCACGAGACCAUCCGCGUGGCCGUGUGCGACAUGCUGGAGGGAAAGUGCCCCUGCCCCGAGCCCCUCCGGGGCGUCAUGGAGAAAUCCUUCAUGGAGUACCUGGACUUCUACGAGGGCGUGUGCAAGGAGCGGCUGCACCUGCAGGGCCAGAGCAUGCAGGACCCUUUCGGGGAGAAGCGCGGCCACUUUGACUACCAGGCGCUGCUGGGGCGGCUGCAGGCGCUGCGGGCGCGGCUGCAGGAGCGGCACCAGCAGGACAGCGCCGAGAUGGACUCGGAGAGCAGCUCCUCGGAGCCCGAGCCCGAGCCCCAGGGCUGCCCCAAGGCCUAGGAGGGCCCGGCCCGGCCCGGGACUGCAGCACAGCCAGGCCGGGGCGGGGAGAGCCGCGGGCUCCUUCCCUCCCUCCCUCCCUCCCACCGACCGACCGCCAGGAGAGUUCCCCGAGGAUUCCCCGAGGAGAAUUCCCCAAAAAAGAGACAAAGCCCAGCUCGGGACAGGCUCCUCUUGGACAAAGGCAGACCAAAGAUAAAGGAAUUCUCACUGCUGGAAUUGGGGCUCCUUCCCCAAAGCUUUACUCGAGCCCUGGGGCACUUUGGAGACUUCAUGUGGCAAGUGGGAACUGCAGGAAUCCAUGGAUUUAUUCACCCUGGAGGUUUGGGGAAGGGGAGGAUGAGGAGAAAUGCGUCGGUCAGAGAGGAGGGGAGCGCUCCAAGAUCCGUUUGCGUUUAUUCCCGUCGGCCUCCGUUUGAAUUUAGCCUUUUUCAGGAGGGGUUUUCUCCUGGUGGAGCUGGUUUUUUACCUCACCUGGAAUUCUCUGCUUCUCACCUUGGCUCAGUGUCACCUUGAGUGUCCCCUCCUGUCCCCUCCCUCCCUGCUGCCACCCACCCCCACGGAGACGCCGGAAGGAGGAGGGACAAUCCCCGCCGGACUCUGGGACAAACUCCUUUGCCAAAACCUUGUAAAAUUCCGCUUUUUUUUUUUUGGGGGGGGAGCCCUGGCACCGCUGAGAGCCGGCUCCGUGCUGGCAGUGCCACGGAGAGGCGGCGGUGGCAGUGCCACCCCGCCCGGCCGCGGCUGGAGGUGACAACGCAGCGGAGUUUGGGCCAGCAGGAGCUCUCAACGCUUCGUUGGUUUGUUUUUUUUUUUUCCCCCCCCCCGCCCCGAUGAUUUGUACGGACACGAAGAAGUCGCAACGUUUCGCCCUCCCCCGGUUCCCUCCCCACCAGUUCGGCCCCAGUUCGGAUCCUGCUGGUGCUGGGAGAACUUCCCAGCCCGGGCUGCUCAUCCCGAGGGGCAGGAGGAGCCCAAAUGGGAUCGCAGCGGCAGCAAGGAGGGGGAAACGGGGGAAUUUCCGCGGUGGGAAAUGGGGAAUUUUCCCGAAAAAACUCGGGAAUCGUUUUCCUUUUCCCAAAUCCCCCGGGGCUGGUUUGGGUUUAACCCUUGAGGGGAGGCCGAGCUGCCACACCCGCAGGGUGAGGGGGGUGGGUGCCACCUCCUCGCUGUCACCUUUUGUCACCCCAGAGCAGCCUCGGGGCGGGGCUGGGGAGCUUUUCCAGCUUUUCCAGGGAUGGGAAUUGCCUUGUCCCGGGGCUGUCCCCGUGUCCCCCUCGGGGUGUCCCCAGUGACAAUGACGUUUUAGCAAAGGGAUUUUUAGAGACUGAAAUGGAGCUGGAAACAAUAAAUGCACACGAGUCACUCGGA